ACCCUUUUCCUGCACCGGUCGGCCUGCCCGGUCACGGCCGGACUGGACUACGCGCAUGGUACGUGCUCCAGUCCGGCGGUGGCCUGGCUUUGCACUUCACCACAUUGUGAAGACUGGGCCGGCUAACGGCUUUUUCCGUUUCCUACGCGCACAAGCAUCUGAGCCAACGCACCCGUAUGCUCUCCCCCUGGGGUACAGAUCGACACGCAAUUACGAGGACCUACUUUCAUCGACGCCCCCAUCCAAGUGAAGACAGCUAAACCUCUCGCAAGCACCCAGAUUGCCGAAUGGAGAAACCUUGGCUCGCCUACUCUACGCCGCCUGAGGCUGCCUUCGAUGGUCUACAGUCGUCCUUGUCCAAGUGCUCCUGGCCUACACUUUCUACUACCUACAAUGAACGAAACUCUUUUUUUUUUUUUUUUGAGGAGGCCAUCGACACGAUAACUGCGAGCUAGUGUUGACUUCAUGUUUCUCCAGGGGAACGAAGAUUGCAAGCGAUUUUACCUUUCAA
Long non-coding RNA from Dermacentor albipictus, 511 nucleotides. RefSeq lists it as uncharacterized. The record is from RefSeq and is a predicted model, not a curated record. NCBI's taxonomy places the organism in Eukaryota, Metazoa, Arthropoda, Arachnida, Ixodida, Ixodidae.